CUAAAUGAUGACAAAAGGCCAUGAGGCCUGAUAAUCCCAGCUCGUCGAGUGCCUCACAAUAAACGCAGAGUGCAUAGUGAGAGAAAAAACCUGUUCUGAUAU
This 102-nucleotide small nucleolar RNA is filed under the name Sclerotinia sclerotiorum 1980 UF-70. RNAcentral's name for it is "A. fumigatus snoRNA Afu_304". It matches the Rfam family "A. fumigatus snoRNA Afu_304". The record is from Rfam by way of RNAcentral. Lineage: Eukaryota; Fungi; Ascomycota; Leotiomycetes; Helotiales; Sclerotiniaceae.